UUUUUUAGGUGCUAGAAAAGAAUACUGGUGUUACCACAUGAAGGUGUUAAAAGAAUUGUUGCAAUGUGAAGAUAAGUAUUUGACAAUACGAAAAUGGUGCGAGCUAAAGUGUAAUCCUUCCAAAAAAAAUGAAAAUAGCACAGAUAUAUCAGAAUAAAAAUUAGUUUUAUUUUAAUGCUAUUUAUAACUUUCAUUAUAUGAUAUAAAAAUACAUGAAUUCUGUUAUAUAUAGUAUGCUCUAGUAUAAAUCGUCAAUAAUACGUCA
Rhopalosiphum padi (bird cherry-oat aphid) is the source of this 265-nucleotide long non-coding RNA. RefSeq lists it as uncharacterized. The record is from RefSeq and is a predicted model, not a curated record. The transcript has 2 exons. Lineage: Eukaryota; Metazoa; Arthropoda; Insecta; Hemiptera; Aphididae.